Molecule: ribosomal RNA, 509 nt
Filed under: Tonkinacris sinensis
Lineage: Eukaryota; Metazoa; Arthropoda; Insecta; Orthoptera; Acrididae
Also listed under: 2 other names
Description: eukaryotic LSU rRNA
Rfam family: Eukaryotic large subunit ribosomal RNA
Source: RNAcentral
UGAGGAUCGGGGCGUGUCGGGCUUGGUCGGGAAGUGGGUCAGCGCUAACGUGCCGGGCCUGGGCGAGGUGAGUGCCGUAGGGGCGCCGGUAAGUGCGGGCGUUUAGCGCGGGCGCGGUCUGCUCUCGCCGCGUGUCGGCCUCGCGCUGGCGCGUGGUGCAGGAUGCGCGCGUCUGCGCGGCGUUCGCGCCCCGGUGCUUCAACCUGCGUGCAGGAUCCGAGCUCGGUCCCGUGCCUUGGCCUCCCACGGAUCUUCCUUGCUGCGAGGCCGCGUUUGCCUUAGCGCGCUCCUUCGGGGGUGCGCGGGUGCGUGGAUCUCUUCGGCCGCCAUUCAACGAUCAACUCAGAACUGGCACGGACUGGGGGAAUCCGACUGUCUAAUUAAAACAAAGCAUUGCGAUGGCCCUAGCGGGUGUUGACGCAAUGUGAUUUCUGCCCAGUGCUCUGAAUGUCAACGUGAAGAAAUUCAAGCAAGCGCGGGUAAACGGCGGGAGUAACUAUGACUCUCUU